RNAcentral lists this ribosomal RNA (301 nucleotides) under uncultured bacterium. Its description in RNAcentral is "partial 16S ribosomal RNA". It matches the Rfam family "Bacterial small subunit ribosomal RNA", at positions 509 to 807 of the family's 1533-position model. The record is from RNAcentral.
CAGCCGCCACGGUAAUACGGAGGGUGCAAGCGUUAAUCGGAAUUACUGGGCGUAAAGCGCACGCAGGCGGUCUGACAAGUCAGAUGUGAAAUCCCCGGGCUUAACCUGGGAACUGCAUUUGAAACUGUCAGGCUGGAGUCUUGUAGAGGGGGGUAGAAUUCCAGGUGUAGCGGUGAAAUGCGUAGAGAUCUGGAGGAAUACCGGUGGCGAAGGCGGCCCCCUGGACAAAGACUGACGCUCAGGUGCGAAAGCGUGGGGAGCAAACAGGAUUAGAGAACCCAGUAGUCCCUGUCUCUUAUAC